This 1141-nucleotide long non-coding RNA is filed under the name Gossypium barbadense (sea-island cotton). RNAcentral's name for it is "long non-coding RNA (GBAR_LNC004611)". The record is from RNAcentral. Lineage: Eukaryota; Viridiplantae; Streptophyta; Magnoliopsida; Malvales; Malvaceae.
AUAAAUCAAAGCAACAUUAAUAAAUUAAAAGUCCAAGUCUUUUUACAAAAAUAAAGGCUAACUAUUAAGCCCAAAUUGCCUAGCCCGGUUGUUAAGAGUAACCCAAUUAACAAAACAAAUUCUAGCCCAUUUGAAACACGGCCCAAUCACAAGACUGGCCCAAAUGUCUGAAGUCUGGUUUCAGAGGCCGAAAACCUAGUCAUUCGCCUUGCACCGCAGCUAGCAGUCGGUCUCCAGCACCACAUGUGUGCCACUAGUUCCUCGCGCGCGCCUUCGCUCGUGUCUUUGUACGACUACUCCUGCAAUGGAACACAUGAGAAGAAGGAGCUAACCGAAUUUACAGCAAAUGGCAGCAAGAAAAUGUAAUUUUAUUUUUUAUUUACUCUGUAAAUCCGACUACAAAAAGCCGUCGAAUGUACCUGCAAAUACUUACGCGCAGUAAAUAUCAGAAAAAGCAUUUCGAAAGGAAAUUUUUAAAGGUGAUUUUCUGCUUUCUAGUUUCUUUAGUUCUUCGUCGAAUCAUCUCAUUUUCUUUUUCGAUUUUUCACUAUUGUAUUUAAAAAAUAAAAGAGAAAGAGAAAGGCGAGGUCUUCCCUUGCGAAUCUGCCAUAGAUUCCUCUUGGCUUUGUUGAAAUUGAAGUUGAAAGAGGAAUCACAAGGCAUCAAAUCAUCUUUUCAAGAGUACGCCGUUCGCUGAUUGUAGUGGCCGAUCGGUGUUGGAGCGAAGGGGAAGUUAGGGUUCGGCUGCAAAGUGAAAGGGAAAGGGAUUUGGUUUUCUUAUUUUUGUUUCUAAAUGGUUGAGUGUGUUAAUUUUAGGUUUUUUAGUGUUAAUUAGGUGUAUAAAACGACACCGUUUAGGGCCUAUGCCAAUGGCCCCAAAAUGAAGCCGGUUUAAGCCGACCCGCAUCGAUCCGACCCGAUCGCCCCUAGGAUCCGUGCGUUUCUGCGAAGAGGAGAUAAUUGCACAUAGGUCCUCCCCUUUCGCACAAGUCUGUAAUUGCGCCAUAUGCAUUUUGUUUCGUUUUUUUAAAUUUGGUUUUGUAAUUUGUGCUUAUUUGCGAUUGGGUCCACGCCUCAACAAAGUGUUUUGGGUUCUGGAGUAAAUCCAGCUUUAGUCUCUGUGCAUUUGCGUACAUUGCGC